This 367-nucleotide ribosomal RNA is filed under the name uncultured soil bacterium. RNAcentral's name for it is "bacterial SSU rRNA". It matches the Rfam family "Bacterial small subunit ribosomal RNA", at positions 26 to 387 of the family's 1533-position model. The record is from RNAcentral.
AGAGUGAACGCUGGCGGUAGGCCUAACACAUGCAAGUCGAACGGCAGCACAGGAGAGCUUGCUCUCUGGGUGGCGAGUGGCGGACGGGUGAGGAAUACAUCGGAAUCUACCUUUUCGUGGGGGAUAACGUAGGGAAACUUACGCUAAUACCGCAUAAGACCUUCGGGUGAAAGCCGGGGACCUUCGGGCCUGGCGCGGAUAGAUGAGCCGAUGUCGGAUUAGCUUGUUGGCGGGGUAAAAGCCCACCAAGGCGACGAUCCGUAGCUGGUCUGAGAGGAUGAUCAGCCACACUGGAACUGAGACACGGUCCAGACUCCUACGGGAGCAGCGAGUGGGGAAUAGUUGGACAAGUGGGCGCAAGCCUGAU